GCUUACGGCCAUACCAACCUGGCUAUGCCCGAUCUCGUCUGAUCUUGGAAGCUAAACAGGUUUGGGCCUGGUUAGUACUUGGAUGGUAGACUGCCUGGGAAUACCAGGUGCUGUAAGCU
Molecule: ribosomal RNA, 119 nt
Filed under: Carassius auratus (goldfish)
Lineage: Eukaryota; Metazoa; Chordata; Actinopteri; Cypriniformes; Cyprinidae
Source: RNAcentral